CGCUCGGUGGCACAGUUGGCAGCGCACCCGCCUUAUAAACGGGAGGACGCGGGUUCGAGUCCCGCCCGAGCGA
This 73-nucleotide transfer RNA is filed under the name Actinomadura violacea. RNAcentral describes it as "Actinomadura sp. LCR2-06 tRNA-Ile". It matches the Rfam family "tRNA". From Rfam's summary of the family: Transfer RNA (tRNA) molecules are approximately 80 nucleotides in length. Their secondary structure includes four short double-helical elements and three loops (D, anti-codon, and T loops). Further hydrogen bonds mediate the characteristic L-shaped molecular structure. tRNAs have two regions of fundamental functional importance: the anti-codon, which is responsible for specific mRNA codon recognition, and the 3' end, to which the tRNAs corresponding amino acid is attached (by aminoacyl-tRNA synthetases). tRNAs cope with the degeneracy of the genetic code in two manners: having more than one tRNA (with a specific anti-codon) for a particular amino acid; and 'wobble' base-pairing, i.e. permitting non-standard base-pairing at the 3rd anti-codon position. Lineage: Bacteria; Bacillati; Actinomycetota; Actinomycetes; Streptosporangiales; Thermomonosporaceae. The record is from RNAcentral.